UGGCGGACGGGUGAGUAAUGUCUGGGAAACUGCCCGAUGGAGGGGGAGUAACUACUGGAAACGGUAGCUAAUACCGCAUAACGUCGCAAGACCAAAGAGGGGGACCUUCGGGCCUCUUGCCAUCGGAUGUGCCCAGAUGGGAUUAGCCAGUAGGUGGGGUAAAGGCUCACCUAGGCGACGAUCCCUAGCUGGUCUGAGAGGAUGACCAGCCACACUGGAACUGAGACACGGUCCAGACUCCUACGGGAGGCAGCAUG
RNAcentral lists this ribosomal RNA (257 nucleotides) under uncultured bacterium. RNAcentral describes it as "partial 16S ribosomal RNA". It matches the Rfam family "Bacterial small subunit ribosomal RNA", at positions 96 to 353 of the family's 1533-position model. The record is from RNAcentral.